CCCUAGAUGUUCUGGGCCGCACGCGCGCUACACUGAUGCAUUCAACGAGUUUCUUCCUGGUCCGAGAGGAAUGGGUAACCUUUUGAAAGUGCAUCGUGAUAGGGAUAGACUAUUGCAAUUAUUGGUCUUCAACGAGGAAUUCCUAGUAGACGUAGUUCAUCAGACUGCAUCGAUUACGUCCCUGCCCUUUGUACACACCGCCCGUCGCUCCUACCGAUUGAAUGCUCAGGUGAGCCAUUCGGACUUUCAUCAUGCUGGUUUCCAGUUUUGAUGAAGGAAAGUCUUGCGAACCUUAUCAUUUAGAGGAAGGAGAAGUCGUAACA
This 323-nucleotide ribosomal RNA is filed under the name uncultured eukaryote. RNAcentral describes it as "partial 18S ribosomal RNA". It matches the Rfam family "Eukaryotic small subunit ribosomal RNA", at positions 1471 to 1796 of the family's 1831-position model. The record is from RNAcentral.